CAGUCGCCGCGGUAAUACGAAGGGGGCUAGCGUUGUUCGGAUUUACUGGGCGUAAAGGGUGCGUAGGCGGACUGAUAAGUCAGGGGUGAAAUCCCAAGGCUCAACCUUGGAACUGCCUUUGAUACUGUUAGUCUUGAGUUCGAGAGAGGUGAGUGGAACUGCGAGUGUAGAGGUGAAAUUCGUAGAUAUUCGCAAGAACACCAGUGGCGAAGGCGGCUCACUGGCUCGAAACUGGCGCUGAGGCACGAAAGCGUGGGGAGCAAACAGGAUUAGAUACCCCUGUAGUCCCUGUCUCUUAUAC
Molecule: ribosomal RNA, 301 nt
Filed under: uncultured bacterium
Lineage: Bacteria
Description: partial 16S ribosomal RNA
Rfam family: Bacterial small subunit ribosomal RNA
Source: RNAcentral